UCGAACGAUGAACCACCUUCGGGUGGGGAUUAGUGGCGAACGGGUGAGUAACAUGUGGGCAAUCUGCCCUGCACUCUGGGACAAGCCCUGGAAACGGGGUCUAAUACCGGAUACUGACCCUCGCAGGCAUCUGCGAGGUUCAAAAGCUCCGGCGGUGCAGGAUGAGCCCGCGGCCUAUCAGCUAGUUGGUGAGGUAAUGGCUCACCAAGGCGACGACGGGUAGCCGGCCUGAGAGGGCGACCGGCCACACUGGGACUGAUACACGGCCCAGACUCCUACGGGAGGCAGCAGUGGGGAAUAUUGCACAAUGGGCGAAAGCCUGAUGCAGCGACGCCUUGUGAGGGAUGACGGCCUUCGGGUUGUAAACCUCUUUCAGUAGGGAAAAAGCCAAACUGAAGGUACCUGCAAAAGAAGCGCCGGCUAUGUACGUGCCAUGACCGCGGUAAUAGGUAGGGCGCAAGCGUUGUCUGGAAUUAUUGGUGGUAAAGAUCUCUUAGUCGCUUUGAAAAUAA
This 512-nucleotide ribosomal RNA is filed under the name Streptomyces sp. NEAE. Its description in RNAcentral is "bacterial SSU rRNA". It matches the Rfam family "Bacterial small subunit ribosomal RNA", at positions 62 to 590 of the family's 1533-position model. Lineage: Bacteria; Bacillati; Actinomycetota; Actinomycetes; Kitasatosporales; Streptomycetaceae. The record is from RNAcentral.